This 441-nucleotide ribosomal RNA is filed under the name uncultured bacterium. RNAcentral's name for it is "bacterial SSU rRNA". It matches the Rfam family "Bacterial small subunit ribosomal RNA", at positions 338 to 795 of the family's 1533-position model. The record is from RNAcentral.
CCUACGGGGGGCAGCAGUGGGGAAUAUUGCACAAUGGGGGAAACCCUGAUGCAGCGACGCCGCGUGAGCGAAGAAGUAUUUCGGUAUGUAAAGCUCUAUCAGCAGGGAAGAAGAAUGACGGUACCUGACUAAGAAGCUCCGGCUAAAUACGUGCCAGCAGCCGCGGUAAUACGUAUGGAGCAAGCGUUAUCCGGAUUUACUGGGUGUAAAGGGAGCGUAGGCGGUGCUAUAAGUCUGAUGUGAAAGCCCGGGGCUCAACCGCGGGACUGCAUUGGAAACUGUAGGACUGGAGUGUCGGAGGGGUAAGUGGAAUUCCUAGUGUAGCGGUGAAAUGCGUAGAUAUUAGGAGGAACACCGGUGGCGAAGGCGGCUUACUGGACGACAACUGACGCUGAGGCUCGAAAGCGUGGGGAGCAAACAGGAUUAGAUACCCCAGUAGUC